Long non-coding RNA from Peromyscus leucopus (white-footed mouse), 3774 nucleotides. RefSeq lists it as uncharacterized. Lineage: Eukaryota; Metazoa; Chordata; Mammalia; Rodentia; Cricetidae. The transcript is spliced from 4 exons. The record is from RefSeq and is a predicted model, not a curated record.
UCGCCACGUUCCGCCACCACAUUCGGAGGCGACAUUUGAAAGGAUUUCGAACCCUGGAGCCCAGCGAAGGCGUCUGCGGGGGGCCAGGUCACAGUAUGACAGAGGAAAGUCAGGCCAGGGACGUGAAGCAGAAACCAUGGAGGAGUGCUGCUUGAAGGAACCCGGACUUCAUUAUUGGUGAGAGCCAAACCCGCCUGACUUUCUAAAGGGAUCUGAGCAGUCUGAGACCCCUGAGGUGAGCUGUGUAACACAGAGGAUGCAGGGAUGGGAACAUGGGAGAGGUGGACCCUGCUUCUACUACUCACCAGAGCCAAUGGGUCUAACUCCUGCAGUUGGGAACAACACAUGGAGUGUUUCUUCUUUGGAAGACGGGGAGAGAGGGAGUUAGAAAUGAAAGGACUCUGAGGAGAAUGAAGAAGAGGAAGGAGCAGAAGCUUUGCCCUCUCCCCCUUCCGGUGGUCCUUCCUCUUUUGGUUGGGGUGGAGGGAGGGCCUUUCUUGGGAAGCUCUACUCAGUGUUUCCCGGUUUAGCUUCUGCAUUUUUUACGCAGUCUUUCGGGAUGUCUCUGCAAGUGUCCAGAGUCGGAGCCACGACCUAGAGUCUCCCCAUUGCUCCAUGCUCAGCUUCUCAAGUGCGUCAUGCCGAGAUGUGGAUGUUUGCAGCUGGCAGAUUCUGUGCUGGUCACUCAUGUGAUUUCGGUCUUGUGCACUUAAGGGGCACCAGAACAACAGCCGCUAGAGAACACGUGAUGACACAGGAGAUGAGCCUGGGUACCAGAGUCAGAAUCAAAAGAAACAGUGUAGACUGAAUCUGGGUGGAGUCAAGAAAGGGCAAGUGGCCAGCCAACCAGGCCGAAGGUAGGGAUCUUGGCUUCCAAGUACCUAGCAUGAUGGCUGGAGAGAUGAGAUAGGAUUACAACAGCCAGGCUUGCAGGUUCAUCUCUGGUCUCUGGACUAGACUUGGCAGGGUCUGGAAUGCCCACCGCGGUUGAUGCAGGACCUGAUCUCCUCUCCCCUAUGGCACAUGGAUUCGUUUGUCUGCUCACAGAAAGCCCCAGAGCAGAGUCCCAGCACUUCCCCCCACUGCUGCCCCAGGGAACGGUGGUCUCUGUACCAGUCAGGUUUGGGCAGGUUUGCAGCUGUGCUCUGCGGGUAGAGCUUAGCAUGCUGCGGGUAGAGCUUAGCUUAGCAUGCUGCGGGUAGAGCUUAGCUUAGCAUGCUGCGGGUAGAGCUUAACAUGCUGCGGGUAGAGCUUAGCUUAGCAUGCCGCCGCCGGUAGAGCUUAGCUUAGCAUGCUGCGGGUAGAGUUUAGCUUAGCAUGUCGCGGGUAGAGCUUAGCUUAGCAUGCCGCCGCCGGUAGAGCUUAGCUUAGCAUGCUGCGGGUAGAGCUUAGCUUAGCAUGCCGCGGGUAGAGCUUAGCAUGCAGCAGGGAGGCAGAAACCCGGACUUCAGAGUGGCGCGGAGGUUGGGGGGUGCACACCACCUGAUUGGGUUCGGAGAUUAGAGGGUCUAGAAUGCGGAGUCAGGGGUGAACUCAGAGAAGAUGCAGGCCAACAUUUUGAGGCACAGUAUCUAAAAUAGCCUGCGCUGGCCUUGAAUUCUCUAUGUAGCCGAGGUUCGCUGUGAACUCCUGAUCCUCUGGCUUGAUCAAGUGCUGAGAUGAUAUGCAUGUGCCACCAUGCCCUGCUCCAACAUUCCUCCUUUUAAGGAGACAGGAAGGAGUGAUGCUGUAGCACAGUGAUAAAGGGGAAGGACACAGAGGACACAAAAGCCCAGGAAAAAUGAGUAUUCUACCAAGUCACCCAGACUGGGAACAGUAAACAGUCCUGUCGGUGUCUACCAUGCUGGUCACCAGCCUUGAAUUAAAGCGGCGUCAGCCCUGCAGGGGGCAGUGUUGAAUUAGUAUUGGCAAUUUGGAACGGGGGUGGGGGGUGGGGAAGAGAUUGGGAAGUAGAAUUCCCGUCACCCAACUACAAGCAAAACAAACAAACAACAACAACAACAACAACAAAAAACGAGACCUGUGUUGGCACAAAUUGGAUUCUGAAAAAGAGGGUGUGAAAUUGAUGGGGUAGGGACAUGGGGGCCGAUCUGAGAGGAGUUAAGGGAAGGAGUGUGUGUGUGGGGGGGUGAGUGAAUAUACGAGUUUCCAGACUGCUUUAGAAAACUUCUUAUUUCACCUUUGUGGCCAGAAUCUCACAGGGGUAAUUGAGUACAAUUUCAUUAAUUUUGCUCAUUAAUUAAUGAGGUGGGCAUUCAGGUCCUAUCUACAUUUCUGUUAUGAUACAGUGAUUUUUGAAAUAGUCUGCAAUUUCCAUUUUUGUUAGUUAUUCUAAGAGUUAUUAAAAUAAGUUUUUAAUACCCAAGUGAAUAGAUUUCCCCUCCUGUUAGGUCCAAAGCAGCCCCCCAAAGGGGCAGAGCUGGCGACCAUGUCCCAAACAGAAGGACUCUGGCUGGGAAACAGAAGCCUAAAGGCAUUUUUCUCUUUACCAGAAAGCAGAUCUCAUAAGGUAGGUUUCUGUUUACCAGAAAGCAGAUCUCAUAAGGUAGGUUUCUGUUUACCAGGAACCUUCCUUCAUCUGCCCUUAAAGGUCCAACUACCUUGGGCAAGGGCGUCUAGUUCUGGGUCAAUCAGAAUGGUUUGCAUCAGCUCAAAAAACCCACCCUGUGGGCUGCCUAUAAAGCCUGCCAUCUUGCUUUUCUGCCAUCUUGCUUUUCUCUGUUCCCCUCCCCCAUCGUCUUGGCAGUCCCAUCCCCAGUAAACUUUUCUUUCUACCCAUGGCUUCACUUUGUCCUCACUUACACUUCCUUUCAUACAUCAUUUUAUUUCCUUGCAGUCUGAGGUUGUAACCAUAUUUGUGCUUUUGGGAAUCUGAGGUUUUUGAUUGAUGACUAAUUUUGCAAAUAACUUUAGGCAUAGUUUUGCAUGAGUGACUGGGCAUGAAAUCUUGUACAUUGGAACAAACGUAUAUCUCCUAUGAUUUUUAACUGCUUAUUUAUUUACCUCUAUGUGCAAACACCCACGUGAAAGUCAGAGGAUCCCUCAUGGGAGUCGGUUCUCAAUCUACCAAGCCUGUAAAGCUGAGGAUCUUACUGGCCCCAUGCUCUUCGUUUUAUUUAUUGGAGCUGAGAAAGAUAUAAGCUUUCUUAAUAAACAUGUGUCGUUUCCAAGCCAGGAUAUUGAAAUACUUUCCUUGUGGGACUAGAACACUCAGUGGGCGGAGAGUCCAAAUCUGUUCACUUCAGGAUCAAGAAACCAAAAAGCUCUUUUUCUUCUAACUUAUCCUUAGACGAGAAACCCACAAACUGACUUAGCCAUUGUGAUGUGCCCAGCGGAGAGCAGGUGCGUGCAGGAUGGAAAGGGCCUUCUUCCUGUCUUCGUAGGGCUCUGACUUAGUCACCUGCCCUGCUGUUCCGACACCUGGUAAAGGCUCCUUAAGGAAAGGUGAAUUUCGGUGUGGACUGUGCGGAGAUGGUCCCUGCUAUUUGGAUUCAAGAUUAUUUCACCUGGGGCUGAUGGUGCCAUCCCACUCCAAGGGAGGCCAAGGCAGCAGGAUGGCGAGUUGAAGGCCUGCCUGUGUUGUAGAGUGAGCUCAGAACCAGCUUGGACAACUCAGCAAAAGGUUUGUCUCAAAACCUAACACAAGGACUCAAGAACGAGUCUGGGGAGCUGGAGAGGGGCUCCGUGGUGAAGAACACUCUAGCUGCUUUUCCAGAGGACUUGAGUUCCAUUCCCAGGACCACAUGGCAGCUCAAGGGGUUCCAGUACCCUUCC